Molecule: ribosomal RNA, 274 nt
Filed under: uncultured bacterium
Lineage: Bacteria
Description: partial 16S ribosomal RNA
Rfam family: Bacterial small subunit ribosomal RNA
Source: RNAcentral
ACACGGGGGGCGCAAGCGUUAUUCGGAAUUAUUGGGCGUAAAGGGCGUGUAGGCGGUUUUAUCGGUCAGAUGUGAAAGCCCAGGGCUCAACCCUGGACGUGCAUUUGAAACAGUAAGACUUGAGCACGGUAGAGGAAAGCGGAAUUCCUGGUGUAGAGGUGAAAUUCGUAGAUAUCAGGAGGAACACCGAUGGCGAAGGCAGCUUUCUGGACCGAAACUGACGCUGAUGCGCGAAGGCGUGGGUAGCGAACAGGAUUAGAUACCCCGGUAGUCC